AGUAUUAGUAAGUUGUUGGGCCCAAAUCACGAUCAUGCCUAAAAAUGUCAAUGAGUACGGAUAUUCGAAAUUUAUCCAAACCUGAAUUUGCAUUAGAAUGAAGUGGAUUUAUCUGAUGGUAAAUGUAUAGUAGUUUUGGAUACGGAUAUAAAAAAUAGCAACCUUACGGAUUUGGAUUUGGGAAUGGAUUUUGUUUGUACCCGACACGAGCUCGAAUUGAAUUUACAUUAUAUAUAAUAUUUGGUGUUAUAUUCGAGUUUGUAUUUUUGAAAAAUUGAUUUGAUGUAAUAUGUUUUGAAAUAUGGUAAAGAGGAAUAAUUGUUUCUGGUUUGGGUUUCGAAUUUCUAGUCGGGUUGGGUUUGGAUAUGGAUUGAUUUUUAAAAUCGGUCAGGAUUUGAAUUCAGAUUUGAAUUUGAAUUUCGGAUUUGAUAGCCGGGUUCGAAUUCGGGUUUUGAAAAUCCGUCCCAAUUACUACUAGAAACUUAUUGAGCCCCCAACCAUCUGCACAACUUUACUUAAGCCCCAUAUAUUAAUAUGAGUCCGGCUGCUAUGCUAUUAAUAGCACCAAGCACUUGGUACUACCAAGUUUUCCGCCUUUAGAUCUAUCUUCUUGAUCAUUUUCACUCGUUAGAUCAUACUAUUCAACCAACCACCCACUCAACCCUACGGGGCCCACAUCAUCCUAACCGCACAUCUCUUAAUCCAAUGGCCAAAAACUUGGUAGCACCAAUGACUUGGUGCUAUUAAUAGCAUAGUAGCCUAGUUCUAUUAAUAUUAUGAUUUUUU
This 786-nucleotide long non-coding RNA is filed under the name Ananas comosus (pineapple). RNAcentral's name for it is "long non-coding RNA (ACOM_LNC029667)". Lineage: Eukaryota; Viridiplantae; Streptophyta; Magnoliopsida; Poales; Bromeliaceae. The record is from RNAcentral.